AUUGAACGCUGGCGGCAGGCCUAACACAUGCAAGUCGAACGGUAACAGGAAGCAUCUUGCUGCUUUGCUGACGAGUGGCGGGCGGGUGAGUAAUGUCUGGGAAACUGCCCGAUGGAGGGGGAUAACUACUGGAAACGGUAGCUAAUACCGCAUAACGUCGCAAGACCAAAGAGGGGGACCUUAGGGCCUCUUGCCAUCGGAUGUGUCCAGAUGGGAUUAGCUAGUAGGUGGGGUAACGGCUCACCUAGGCGACGAUCCCUAGCUGGUCUGAGAGGAUGACCAGCCACACUGGAACUGAGACACGGCCCAGACUCCUACGGGAGGCAGCAGUGGGGAAUAUUGCACAAUGGGCGCAAGCCUGAUGCAGCCAUGCCGCGUGUAUGAAGAAGGUCUUCGGGUUGUAAAGUACUUUCAGCGGGGAGGAAGGGAGUAAAGUUAAUACCUUUGCUCAUUGACGUUACCCGCAGAAGAAGCACCGGCUAACUCCGUG
Molecule: ribosomal RNA, 490 nt
Filed under: uncultured bacterium
Lineage: Bacteria
Description: partial 16S ribosomal RNA
Rfam family: Bacterial small subunit ribosomal RNA
Source: RNAcentral